AUUGAACGCUGGCGGCAUGCCUUACACAUGCAAGUCGAACGGCAGCGGGGGAGAAGCUUGCUUUUCCUGCCGGCGAGUGGCGAACGGGUGAGUAAUACAUCGGAACGUGCCCUGUAGUGGGGGAUAACUAGUCGAAAGAUUAGCUAAUACCGCAUACGACCUGUGGGUGAAAGUGGGGGACCGCAAGGCCUCAUGCUAUAGGAGCGGCCGAUGUCUGAUUAGCUAGUUGGUGGGGUAAAGGCCUACCAAGGCGACGAUCAGUAGCUGGUCUGAGAGGACGAUCAGCCACACUGGGACUGAGACACGGCCCAGACUACUACGGGAGGCAGCAGUGGGGAAUUUUGGACAAUGGGCGAAAGCCCGAUCCAGCAAUGCCGCGUGUGUGAAGAAGGCCUUCGGGUUGUAAAGCACUUUUGUCCGGAAAGAAAUGGCUCUGGUUAAUACCUGGGGUCGAUGACGGUACCGGAAGAAUAAGGACCGGCUAACUACGUGCCAGCCGCCGCCGUAA
This 508-nucleotide ribosomal RNA is filed under the name uncultured bacterium. RNAcentral's name for it is "partial 16S ribosomal RNA". It matches the Rfam family "Bacterial small subunit ribosomal RNA", at positions 30 to 523 of the family's 1533-position model. The record is from RNAcentral.